ACAGCAGAAACGCACUAGACAAAAGCACCUAUCUACCAAGUACAAAAUUGCAUCUUUUACAUAUAAUACAAAUUGAAUGUCCUAAUUUCCACAGCCUCAUUACCAAGGAGCAGCUGAUGGAUCCCUACAAUGUUGUUCGAAAUUUCAGUAGAAGCGCGGCAUAACUGUAUAAUCUGGAACUUUAGUGUGUUUUGAGGCUAAACUACACUAGACAGGCUUCUUUCUUGUCAACAAUGCAACAGCCACCUAAGUUAUUAAAAGAGGGCUCAACUUCAGCAGCCAAGAUGUAGCAGGAACUUUCAAACUCAGUCACAAAACUGAAAUCUGAACAGAAGAUCUGUUCUAGACAGGGGGAUAACGAAGCUUUCUAAUGCAGAUCUCUUGAAUUUUGCAUUUGGUUGUGGUCAAGAUGUUGUCUUUGAUUUCAGUUCAGUUCCUAAGUUGAAGAGAUUUGUCAUGGGUGCAAACAAAAGACAGCUGCACUAUGUUUUCACUCGAUCGGUUGUCAAAACAUGUUCCCAGGAUGAGGAGUUUGACUGUCAAGACCAGGUUAUAUGCAUACCAGAAAGAAUCGCCAUCUUCAAAGAUGUUGCGAAGUUAAUAGCAACACAGAAUUUGAUAUCUUGAAGAUGAUUGCUAUUCUUAGAGCCUUUCCCUCCCUGCAAAAGCUAUAUUUAGAGACUUGUUCUUCAGAAGACAUGGGCCGAGGAAAGCUUGAGCAUAGUGAACAUGUCCAUAAACAUCUGAAGCAAGUUGAAAUUGGUGGAUUUUAUGACACCUCAAACCAGAUUGAACUCGCCAUUUACUUGUUGAAACAUGCUAUUUCCCUAGAGCGGAUGGUCAUCAAUCCUGUAGGGAAAUAUUGUUCUGCGUUGAGGCAGUCCUGGGAUGAAGGAGAACGUGAAAAGGCUUAUCGAAAACUGCAUGAACCUGACGAUCCACUGAAUGUAUCUGAAUCUUUAGGGAUUCGGCAAUCAAGUUUAAACUGUUUAAUGUAUUAGGAUGUGCACUUCCUUUUGCCCUUUUGUGUAUGAAGUUCUCUGUUCUUGCUUGCUUUCUAAGCCCUUGUUGAGAAUCAACUCUCUUCAAUGGCAGUCAAAGGUUCUUCAGAAUAUAGUGCAUGAAUCACGUAAUUUGGACCCAGUCAUCCAUUUACCUUUACAAAAAACAAUACUGUGUAAGAAAAGAUUUCAACAACAAAAAUCUUUUAGAUUUUGCACAAA
Populus nigra (black poplar) is the source of this 1223-nucleotide RNA transcript. RefSeq lists it as uncharacterized. The transcript is spliced from 5 exons. The record is from RefSeq and is a predicted model, not a curated record. NCBI's taxonomy places the organism in Eukaryota, Viridiplantae, Streptophyta, Magnoliopsida, Malpighiales, Salicaceae.